This 253-nucleotide ribosomal RNA is filed under the name uncultured bacterium. Its description in RNAcentral is "partial 16S ribosomal RNA". It matches the Rfam family "Bacterial small subunit ribosomal RNA", at positions 524 to 776 of the family's 1533-position model. The record is from RNAcentral.
UACGAAGGGUGCAAGCGUUGUUCGGAUUUAUUGGGCGUAAAGCGCGCGCAGGCGGAUCCAUAAGUCAGAUGUGAAAUCUCAGGGCUUAACCCUGAAAGUGCGUCUGAAACUGUGGAUCUAGAAUACUGGAGAGGGAAGGGGAAUUUCUCAUGUAGGGGUAAAAUCCGUAGAUAUGAGAAGGAACACCAGAGGCGAAGGCGCCUUCCUGGACAGUUAUUGACGCUGAGGCGCGAAAGCGUGGGGAGCAAACAGG